GCCUGCCUGGCUCAGUCGGUAGAGCAUGUGACUCUUGAUCUUGACUUGUGAGUUUAAGCCCCAUGUUGGGUG
RNAcentral lists this transfer RNA (72 nucleotides) under Felis catus (domestic cat). It matches the Rfam family "tRNA". Rfam says of the family: Transfer RNA (tRNA) molecules are approximately 80 nucleotides in length. Their secondary structure includes four short double-helical elements and three loops (D, anti-codon, and T loops). Further hydrogen bonds mediate the characteristic L-shaped molecular structure. tRNAs have two regions of fundamental functional importance: the anti-codon, which is responsible for specific mRNA codon recognition, and the 3' end, to which the tRNAs corresponding amino acid is attached (by aminoacyl-tRNA synthetases). tRNAs cope with the degeneracy of the genetic code in two manners: having more than one tRNA (with a specific anti-codon) for a particular amino acid; and 'wobble' base-pairing, i.e. permitting non-standard base-pairing at the 3rd anti-codon position. RNAcentral also lists the same sequence under 4 other names. The record is from Rfam by way of RNAcentral. Lineage: Eukaryota; Metazoa; Chordata; Mammalia; Carnivora; Felidae.